CAAAUCAGGUAGGACUACCCGCUGAACUUAA
This 31-nucleotide ribosomal RNA is filed under the name Flammulina velutipes. RNAcentral describes it as "partial 28S ribosomal RNA". The record is from RNAcentral. Lineage: Eukaryota; Fungi; Basidiomycota; Agaricomycetes; Agaricales; Physalacriaceae. RNAcentral also lists the same sequence under 1 other name.